CCUACGGGAGGCUGCAGUGAGGAAUAUUGGUCAAUGGACGAGAGUCUGAACCAGCCAAGUAGCGUGAAGGAUGACUGCCCUAUGGGUUGUAAACUUCUUUGAUAAAGGAAUAAAACGAGGCACGGGUGCCUUUUUGCAUGGACGGUAUGAAUAAGGAUCGGCUAACUCCGUGCCAGGAGCCGCGGUAAGACGGAGGUGCCGAGCGUUAUCCGGAUUUGUUGGGUUGCAAGGGAGCGUAGCUGGGUUGGUAAGUCAGUUGUGAAGGUUUGCGGCUCAACCGUAAAAUUGCAAUUGAUACUGGCAGUCUUGAGUACAGUUGAGGUAGGCGGACUUCGUGGUGUAGCGGU
RNAcentral lists this ribosomal RNA (347 nucleotides) under uncultured bacterium. Its description in RNAcentral is "partial 16S ribosomal RNA". It matches the Rfam family "Bacterial small subunit ribosomal RNA", at positions 338 to 682 of the family's 1533-position model. The record is from RNAcentral.